UACGGAGGGGGCGAGUGUUGUUCGGAAUUACUGGGCGUAAAGCGCGUGUAGGCGGUUGUCCAAGUUGGAUGUGAAAGCCUUGAGCUUAACUCAAGAAAUGCAUUCAGGACUGGAUGACUAGAGGACCGGAGAGGAUAGUGGAAUUCCCAGUGUAGUGGUGAAAUACGUAGAGAUUGGGAAGAACACCAGUGGCGAAGGCGGCUAUCUGGACGGUUUCUGACGCUAAGACGCGAAAGCGUGGGGAGCAAACAGG
RNAcentral lists this ribosomal RNA (253 nucleotides) under uncultured bacterium. RNAcentral's name for it is "partial 16S ribosomal RNA". It matches the Rfam family "Bacterial small subunit ribosomal RNA", at positions 524 to 776 of the family's 1533-position model. The record is from RNAcentral.